RNAcentral lists this ribosomal RNA (237 nucleotides) under uncultured bacterium. RNAcentral's name for it is "partial 16S ribosomal RNA". It matches the Rfam family "Bacterial small subunit ribosomal RNA", at positions 118 to 347 of the family's 1533-position model. The record is from RNAcentral.
UGAGCAAUCUGCCCUUCUCAUCGGAUAAGCGUUGGAAACGACGUCUAAUGCCGAAUACGACCUCCUUUCGCAUGAUCGGAGGUGGAAAGCUCCGGCGGAGAAGGAUGAGCUCGCGGCCUAUCAGCUUAGUUGGUGUGGGUAAUGGCCCACCAAGGCGACGACGGGUAGCCGGCCUGGAGAGGGUGACCGGCCACACGUGGGACUGAGACACCGGCCCAGACCUCCGUACGGGAGCAG